This 460-nucleotide ribosomal RNA is filed under the name uncultured bacterium. RNAcentral describes it as "partial 16S ribosomal RNA". It matches the Rfam family "Bacterial small subunit ribosomal RNA", at positions 338 to 795 of the family's 1533-position model. The record is from RNAcentral.
CCUACGGGCGACAGCAGUGAGGAAUAUUGGUCAAUGGACGAGAGUCUGAACCAGCCAAGUCGCAUGAAGGAUGACUGCCCUAUUGGUUGUAAACUUCUUUUAUCUGGGAAUAAAAUGUUCCACGUGUGGGCUUUUGUAUGUACCAUAUGAAUAAGGAUCGGCUAACUCCGUGCCAGCAGCCGCGGUAAUACGGAGGAUCCGAGCGUUAUCCGGAUUUAUUGGGUUUAAAGGGAGCGUAGGUGGAUUGUUAAGUCAGCUGUGAAAGUGUGCGGCUCAACCGUAAAAUUGCAGUUGAAACUGGCAGUCUUGAGUACAGGAGAGGUGGGCGGAAUGCGUGGUGUAGCGGUGAAAUGCUUAGAUAUCACGAAGAACUCCGAUUGCGAAGGCAGCUCACUGGACUGCAACUGACACUGAGGCACGAAAGUGUGGGUAUCGAACAGGAUUAGAUACCCGGGUAGUC